GUUGCGAUGGCCGAGUGGUUAAGGCGUUUGACUUGAAAUCAAAUGGGAUCUUCCCGCGUAGGUUCGAAUCCUACUCGCAACG
This 82-nucleotide transfer RNA is filed under the name Lytechinus pictus (painted urchin). RNAcentral describes it as "transfer RNA serine (anticodon UGA)". It matches the Rfam family "tRNA". From Rfam's summary of the family: Transfer RNA (tRNA) molecules are approximately 80 nucleotides in length. Their secondary structure includes four short double-helical elements and three loops (D, anti-codon, and T loops). RNAcentral also lists the same sequence under 1 other name. Lineage: Eukaryota; Metazoa; Echinodermata; Echinoidea; Temnopleuroida; Toxopneustidae. The record is from RNAcentral.